CUGCUGCCUCCCGUAGGAGUCUGGUCCGUGUCUCAGUACCAGUGUGGGGGACCUUCCUCUCAGAUCCCCUACGCAUCGUCGUCUUGGUGGUCCGUUACACCGCCAACUAACUAAUGCGACGCAUGCCCAUCCGCCACCGGAAUUAACCUUUGGCACCAACAGGAUGUCCCGUCGAUGCAUUAUGCCGUAUUAGACGGAAUUUCUCCCGAUUAUCCGGCUGUGGCAGGCAGGUUGCAUACGUGUUACUCA
This 249-nucleotide ribosomal RNA is filed under the name uncultured bacterium. RNAcentral describes it as "partial 16S ribosomal RNA". The record is from RNAcentral.